This is a small nucleolar RNA of Mastomys coucha (southern multimammate mouse), 132 nucleotides long. RefSeq annotates it as small nucleolar RNA SNORA17. Lineage: Eukaryota; Metazoa; Chordata; Mammalia; Rodentia; Muridae. The transcript has a single exon. The record is from RefSeq and is a predicted model, not a curated record.
CCUGUCCCUAGAGGCACUGCAGGUGUGGCUGCUGUGUCACAUGGGCACCAGUAGGUGGCAGAGAGGAGAGAGGCUAUGCCUACAUUCAGUGUCCUAACCUAUGAACAUCUGAAUGAUUAACAGCUUAACAUU